RNAcentral lists this transfer RNA (73 nucleotides) under Cimex lectularius (bed bug). Its description in RNAcentral is "tRNA-Asn". It matches the Rfam family "tRNA". From Rfam's summary of the family: Transfer RNA (tRNA) molecules are approximately 80 nucleotides in length. Their secondary structure includes four short double-helical elements and three loops (D, anti-codon, and T loops). Lineage: Eukaryota; Metazoa; Arthropoda; Insecta; Hemiptera; Cimicidae. The record is from Rfam by way of RNAcentral.
GUCACGAUAGCUCAAGUGGUAGAGCGACGGCGUAUUGAGCCGAAGGUCGUGGGUUCGAAUCCCGCUCGUGACA